This is a long non-coding RNA of Lontra canadensis (Northern American river otter), 269 nucleotides long. RefSeq lists it as uncharacterized. Lineage: Eukaryota; Metazoa; Chordata; Mammalia; Carnivora; Mustelidae. The record is from RefSeq and is a predicted model, not a curated record. The transcript has 2 exons.
CUGAAUAUAAUCAAGCCUCUAGAUCUAACUACCAAUUUAUAGACAUUAGGGGGAUAGAAGAGCUUAUUCAAUGACACCAUGAAAAUACAAUGUAAAAAUUCUACUGGACAAAUAACCUGACUUUAUCAGCAAAUAACUUGCACAGAAAAAAAUGAAGGGAGCACUGUUACAGAUUAAAGGAGACUUCAGAGGUGUACCAAACCAAGUGCAACAUGCUGACCUUGUUUGGACAUUGUUUUGAAUAAAUGAAACCUUCAGAAAAAGCAAAA